CCUACGGGGGGCAGCAGUGAGGAAUAUUGGUCACUGUGCGCGAGCCUGAACCAGCCAAGUAGCGUGAAGGAUGACUGCCCUACGGGUUGUAAACUUCUUUUGUCAGGGAGCAACGCCGGCUACGUGUAGCCGGACUGAGAGUACCUGAAGAAAAAGCAUCGCCUAACUCCGUGCCAGCGGCCGCGGUAAUACUGGGCAUGCGAGCGUUCUCCGGAUUUCUUUGGUUUAAGGGGUGCGUAGGCGGAAUUCCAAGUCAGCGGUAAAAUCGCGGGGCUCAACCUCGCUCCGCCGUUGAUACUGGCGUUCUUGAGUGGGCGAGAAGUAUGCGGAAUGCGUGGUGUAGCGGUGAAAUGCAUAGAUAUCACGCAGAACUCCGAUUGCGAAGGCAGCAUACCGGCGCCCAACUGACGCUGAAGCACGAAAGCGUGGGUAUCGAACAGGAUUAGAUACCCCUGUAGUC
This 460-nucleotide ribosomal RNA is filed under the name uncultured bacterium. RNAcentral's name for it is "partial 16S ribosomal RNA". It matches the Rfam family "Bacterial small subunit ribosomal RNA", at positions 338 to 795 of the family's 1533-position model. The record is from RNAcentral.